Molecule: ribosomal RNA, 406 nt
Filed under: uncultured bacterium
Lineage: Bacteria
Description: partial 16S ribosomal RNA
Rfam family: Bacterial small subunit ribosomal RNA
Source: RNAcentral
AUUGAACGCUGGCGGCAGGCCUAACACAUGCAAGUCGAGCGAUCGGCGGACGGGUGAGUAAUGCCUAGGAAUCUGCCUGGUAGUGGGGGAUAACGUCCGGAAACGGGCCCUAAUACCACAUACUAUCAGAUGUGCCCAGUGGGGAUUAGCGAGUAGGUGAGGUAACGGCGCACCUAGGCGACGAUCCCUAGCUGGUCUGAGAGGAUGAUCAGCCAACCUGGGACUGAGACACGGCCCAGACUCCUACGGGAGGCAGCAGUGGGGAAUAUUGCACAAUGGGCGCAAGCAUGAUGCAGCCAGGCCGCGUGUAUGAAGAAGGCCUGCGGGUGGGAAAGUACUUUCAGUGGGGAGGCGGUACCGGCAGAAGAAGCACCGGCUAACUCCGUGCCAGCAGCCGCGGUAAUAC